RNA transcript from Sinocyclocheilus grahami, 1591 nucleotides. It is a transcript of the gene named ras-related protein Rab-35, with no coding region annotated. The transcript has 7 exons. The record is from RefSeq and is a predicted model, not a curated record. NCBI's taxonomy places the organism in Eukaryota, Metazoa, Chordata, Actinopteri, Cypriniformes, Cyprinidae.
GUUUGUUUGAGCGGCUGCGAGGCGAGCAGCAUCAGAUCCGCUGCGAGUGUAGAUCGGUGUGUGAGUCUCCGAUACCCCGCAAACCGCUCAAAAUAAACCCGGGGACACGUUAAAGCACAUAUACGGCUGCCUCUCCGCCGGGAGAGGAGGAGGAGCAGCGGGAGGUUUCGCUUCCUGGACAGCCUCUCCGCGCGGGGGGAUCGAGCCGGGCCAUGGCGCGGGACUAUGAUUACCUCUUCAAGCUGCUCAUCAUCGGCGACAGCGGUGUUGGCAAAAGUAGUUUACUGCUGAGAUUUGCUGAUAACACAUUUUCAGGCAGCUACAUCACCACCAUCGGCGUGGACUUCAAGAUUCGCACGGUGGAGAUCAACGGGGAGAAAGUCAAGCUGCAGAUUUGGGACACAGCGGGACAGGAGAGAUUUCGGACGAUCACCUCCACGUACUAUAGAGGCACUCACGGCGUUAUAGUGGUUUAUGACGUCUCCAGCGCCGAAUCGUUCGUGAACGUCAAACGCUGGCUUCAUGAAAUCAAUCAAAACUGUGACGACGUUUGUCGAAUAUUAGUGGGUAAUAAGAAUGACGAUCCCGCCUCUAAAGUGGUGGAGACCAACGACGCGCAGAAGUUUGCUGAGCAGAUGUGCAUCCGACUGUUUGAGACCAGCGCCAAGGAGAACGUCAACGUCGAGGACAUGUUCAACUGCAUCACUGAGCUCGUCCUGAAGGUCCGGAAAGAGUCUGUGGCCAAACAGCAGCAGCAGAGCGAAGUCGUCAAACUGAGUAAGAGCAGCAAACGCAAGAAGAAAUGCUGCUAAUGGACCGGACUCAUGUAUACACACACACCCACACACACACCCUUAGAGAGCCAAUCGACGAAACGCCACUGAACUGACAAGAGCCAGACGGCUUAACACACUUAACCCAACCCGUGAGAGACUAGUAAUGAGAGAGAUUUACUAAUGAUGAGCCCGUUUGGAUUUGGGAGGACGCCUACAGACUCCGAUGUUUUAGCAGGAUUGGAUUCCAGUGGCAUCGCACUUCAUUGUUGUUUUUUUUCCCCUGAAGAUCUGCCGCAGAAAUGUUAAAAUAGAAAAUGAAACGUCUGCAUCUUCGUCAUUGUCUGCGUUUCACAUGCUGUGGAAUCAUACCAACAAGCCCUAAUGUGAGCGACUGCAGUGUUAAUGUGACUUAACAUCUACCGACACCAAUCAGGACCACAUAUAAGUUGGAGAACAUUAUGAAUUUUCCCAUAUUUUCAUGCACGUCGUCACAGACGGACCAAAUGUGUGCUGCUCUGCCAACUACCAAGAGACAUUUGUUUUGCCUUUUGCGUUCUUUUUUGUCAUUCAUUUUUGUAAAAUUUAUUUUUUUUACUAACAAAUUAUACAAUCAAACACACAGUAGUGUUUAAUGAAUCUGGUGCCACUGACUGAAAGUUAUUAUAUUUACAAAGCUGCGAGGAAACGCUGAAUCUCAUGUGCAACUGCAUGAAAGCGCGGAUUUAAGGGUUGAUGCAAAAAUUGAUCAGCUGAAAAUGUGCUGUGCAAGAUUAGGAUGAGUUUGUUUCUUCAUCAGGUUUGUAGAAAUGUAGCAC